UGAGUUUGGCACAUUUGGCAGCGGCCUCCUCCACUGACCUCUUCCUCUUGAACCUGCCUCUUCAGGCUCUAUGGACCCAACCAACUCCAUGUGGGAGGAGGGGGAACUCCCUCCGAUGGUACAGCCCAUCUGAGGGCGUGGUCAGGCAGAAGCUGCGCUGUGAACUUGGAGAGAAGUGAACUAACCGGACAAUUGUCAGUUGUUGUUUUUCGACUGGCCCAAAAGUGAAGUGAAAGUGAAGCGGCCCAACGGGAAUCCACCCCCCCCCCCCCCCCCCCGCUACUAACAGACGCACAGUUGAUCAGGCGGAGAUAGAGCGACUCCGUAGGCUGAGACUUCCGAAGACAAACGAACUGCGCUGUAUUUGUCUGAAUUCGUUAGUUUCCACUCCCAUGGCGAUGUUCUCCUCCUGUUUUGGAUGCUACAGCUCACCUCAGCCCAGAUCUCUGUGAGAUGGUGUCUUCAGCUCAAGAAAACUGCUAACCUGUCCUUCAAAAUGAAAUCAACGAGAAAAUCUUUGGCGGCUGCAUCUGUGUUGUUGAUAUUUUUGAUCAACGUCUUCAGUGGGAACACUCUGACCUGUCAUCCAGAGACAGAGUAUCCGAUAGGGGAUGAAUGCUGUCCUCUGUGUCCGCCGGGGAAACGUGUGAAAACGGACUGCACGGAGUACAGGAGCACUUCCUGUUUGCCCUGUGUGAACAGGACCUCCUUCACGACUCAUCCCAAUGGACUUAGAGAGUGUUUUCCCUGUGCGAGUUGCGGUUCAGGUUCCGGACUGAAGAUAAACAGUUUGUGCACAACAACAUCAGAUACAGUUUGUGAACCUAUGGAAGGAUUCUACUGUAUAGACAGAACAGGGGGCCGCUGUGUGGAAGCAAGGAGACACAAAAAAUGUGUCUCAGGACAGUACAUCAGACAUACAGGAACAGCCCUCACAGACACUGAGUGCUCUGACUGCAGUGAUGGGACUUUUUCAAAUGGGAAAUCUACAUCUUGUCAACCACACACACAAUGUGAAUCAUUGGACCUUCAGCUGAUAAAACCUGGAACUGUGUCGACUGAUGCUGAAUGUGGAAAGGACUACGAUUCAACUAAUGUGGUCGCCAUUGUAGUGUCUUUUUUAUUAAUUUGUGUUGUUUUACUUUUUUUACUCUUUUUUUUCUGGAAGAACAAAAGACGUCUAUUUGGCAAAAUAAGAAGUGCAGCGAUUCCCACAGAGCAAAACGCAGCUGGAAGAGAAGGCGAGAACAUGGUGGAUAUGACAGAGGGAACAGUAGCAGGGUUCGUCGCCACUUUCACGACCCCUGCGUCACGCUGUCAAACCAAGGAGUACCGAGCCCGUGAUGGGCCGUGCUGCCCCGUGCCACGGAGGCGCGACACGUCACGGAGGUGCGACGAGGAACGAGGGACGUGUCCACUGAUCCGCACCCUGUCCACAGUUUGACUCCAUGGAAGAAAUCAGAAGUACUGGUUCAAUUCAAUUUCAACUCAAUUUUACUUGUUUAGCGCCAAAUCCUAAAAUACAUCAUGUCAAGGCACUUGUAGUGAGGUCGAGACCAGAAUAUUACAGAGGAAGCCAACAGUUCUCACAAGGAGCAGCACUUGGUGUCUGUAGAACUCAAUUUUAACAGGAUCCUGUGGAAAUAUAGGAAUUUCUCCACUGAUGAUAUUCGUCAGUAGCCAGGCUGUUGCAGUACAUCCAUGCAAUACAGGUUACCAUGGUGAAACCAGUCUGACGAUACAGUGGAACCUGAGUUUAGCCCAAAGAUAGCGGGUUAAACCACAAAUCCUGCGUCCUGGUACGGGCCCUUGGACUUGAUGCCGCAACAGUUAAUUGAUUAGUAAUCAACCACUAAAUUCAUUGAUUUGAUGGAUUAAUCGGUUCAGGUACCGUUGUCACCGACUGUGACAAUGGAACUUAUAUGGACCGACCCAACCGUCUAAAUAAGUGUCUCUCCUACACUUCCUGUGUCCAAGCUAAUGGUCUUUUUGCCCGGCAUAACUGCACAGCAACAACUGACGCUGUUUG
Molecule: RNA transcript, 2029 nt
Organism: Scophthalmus maximus (turbot)
Lineage: Eukaryota; Metazoa; Chordata; Actinopteri; Pleuronectiformes; Scophthalmidae
Gene name: tumor necrosis factor receptor superfamily member 14
Exons: 13
Source: RefSeq, a predicted model, not a curated record